AAACUAACAAGGAUUCCCCUAGUAACGGCGAGCGAACCGGGAAGAGCUCAAAUUUAAAAUCUGGCGUCUUUCAGGCGUCCGAGUUGUAAUCUAUAGAGGCGUUUUCUGUGCUGGACCGUGUCCAAGUUCCUUGGAACAGGAUAUCAAAGAGGGUGAGAAUCCCGUAUUUGACACGAUCACCAGGGCUUGAUGAUACGCUCUCGACGAGUCGAGUUGUUUGGGAAUGCAGCUCUAAAUGGGUGGUAAAUUCCAUCUAAAGCUAAAUAUUGGCGAGAGACCGAUAGCGAACAAGUACCGUGAGGGAAAGAUGAAAAGCACUUUGGAAAGAGAGUGAAACAGUAUGUGAAAUUGUUGAAAGGGAAACGAUUGAAGUCAGUCGUGUUAGAUGGGUUCACUCUUACGAGGUAUUCCUGUCUAAUGGGCCAACAUCAGUUUGAACCGGUGGAUAAUAGCAUUAAGAAAGUAGCUCUUCCGGGAGUGUUAUAGCUUGGUGUUGCAUACAUUGGUCCAGACUGAGGAACGCAGCUUGCCGUAAGGCUUGGUUUCGGCCAAAUACAAGCUUAGGAUGUUGGCAUAAUGGCUUUAAACGAC
This 591-nucleotide ribosomal RNA is filed under the name Carcinomyces sp. RNAcentral describes it as "partial large subunit ribosomal RNA". It matches the Rfam family "Eukaryotic large subunit ribosomal RNA", at positions 62 to 648 of the family's 3401-position model. The record is from RNAcentral. Lineage: Eukaryota; Fungi; Basidiomycota; Tremellomycetes; Tremellales; Carcinomycetaceae.